GAUGAAGAACGUAGCGAAAUGCGAUACUUGGUGUGAAUUGCAGAAUCCCGUGAACCAUCGAGUCUUUGAACGCAAGUUGCGCCCGAAGCCAUUAGGCCGAGGGCACGCCUGCCUGGGCGUCACACGUCGUUGCCCCCCCAUCUACUCCUUCGGGAUUGCGGGGGGCGGAUGAUGGCCUCCCGUGCGCCUCGUCGCGCGGUUGGCAUAAAUGCCAAGUCCUCGGCGACGCACGCCACGACAAUCGGUGGUUGCGAAACCUCGGUUGCCCGUCGUGUGCGGUCGUCGCGCAUCGAGGGCUCGAAAAAAUUGCCGGGCUCCGGCUCGGCGUUCAACGCGACCCCAGGUCAGGCGGGGUUACCCGCUGAAUUUAAGCAUAUCAAUAAGCGGAGGA
RNAcentral lists this unclassified non-coding RNA (391 nucleotides) under soil metagenome. RNAcentral describes it as "partial contains 5.8S ribosomal RNA, internal transcribed spacer 2, and large subunit ribosomal RNA". The stretch from base 1 to 122 matches the Rfam family "5.8S ribosomal RNA", at positions 35 to 154 of the family's 154-position model. The record is from RNAcentral.